RNAcentral lists this ribosomal RNA (254 nucleotides) under uncultured bacterium. Its description in RNAcentral is "partial 16S ribosomal RNA". It matches the Rfam family "Bacterial small subunit ribosomal RNA", at positions 338 to 607 of the family's 1533-position model. The record is from RNAcentral.
CCUACGGGGCGCAGCAGUGGGGAAUAUUGCACAAUGGGGGAAACCCCGAUGCAGCGACGCCGCGUGAGUGAGGAAGUAUUUCGGUAUGUAAAGCUCUAUCGGCAGGGAAGAAAAAAUGACGGUACCUGACUAAGAAGCACCGGCUAAAUACGUGCCAGCAGCCGCGGUAAUACGUAUGGUGCAAGCGUUAUCCGGAUUUACUGGGUGUAAAGGGAGCGCAGGCGGUACGGCAAGUCUGAUGUGAAAGGCCGGGG